UCUGCCCAUCUCAGCCUCCCAAAGUGCUAGGAUUACAGGCGUGAGCCACCGCUCCCGGCCAGCCCCAGCUUCUUAAAUUGGCUUUCAAGCCUCCUUCCUACCCUCCCCAUAGGCAUUAAUUAGCUGUUCCUGGUUUGUUUUCCACUACUAGCCUACACAAGGCCAGACAGCUCUUCAGGCAGACAGCUCUCUCUUUGUCCGCUGAAAACAUCAUGUGAAUUGUCUUUAUUUUACUGAAGAUGCCAGGCACCAUGUUAGGCAUUACAAAUAUUAUCUUAUUUAAUCCCUUCCAUUUAAGAGAUGGGUAUAAUUAUACCCAUUUUAAGGCUGUAGAAGGCUAAAGAAGUUAAGGUACUUGUCCAACUAAGGUCUCACAGCAGCACUAGGAUUCUUACAUCUGGCUCAAAAGCUGGUAUACUUUCCACUCCAGCAUACUCUCCCCCCUGCUAUGCAUGUGCUGUGUGUUCUGAUUCCUCCUUCCUCUUGUCAUCUGGAUGAUUUCUCAAUUUCACUCCAUAUAUCUGACUCCUGUCCAGUCUGCAAAUCCGGAGAGAAACUCCCACCUCUGUCUUGAAACCUUUCAACCAUCAUCCUAGUCCUUGGCAGACUGCUGAAUUUGUCAUCUGCAGCACUCAUUUGGUGCUCCCAUUUUCUGCCUUGUAUUGUCAGCUUUAUUUUUAUUCAGUCCCUUCCAACCAAACUGAAAGCUCCUUGAAGAUGGGAAUUUGCCUUAUAUUUAUUUAUAUUCCUCCCUGACUCCCCAGAGCCUAAUAUUACAACUCCCGUUUGUCAUACACUCACCUCAUGCACACUAAUCCUUAGAAGUGAGCACUGUUAUUACUGCCAUUUCGCAGAUAAAGAAACUGAGACUCAGAGAGAUGAAGAAAUUUGCCCAAGCCACUAAGCUGGUGAGCAGAUCUGAUGUUCAAACACAUACUGCCUGAAUCAAAUGCCCCUUUUCCUUUGUGACUGUAUUGUCCUGGCUCACAUACAUGGUCCCUCACACAAUGUGAACUUAUGAAGCAUUCCUGUAUGGAGGAUACUCAACAAGCCUCCAGAAAACAUCCCUCUAACAUGACUUCAGAGAAGGGGCAUUGUUUUUACUCUUCAUGAGGUGAAAUCCGGCAACUCAACAGAAGAAAGGAUGAGUAUAUACCCACCUGAGGACACCCACAUCCACUUCCCCCUCCUCUCUAGGAGCCAUGCCUCAUGUUGGUGGGAGCCAAUGAUGCUGUCUAUAUCUGUACAGGGGUUUCUGUGAGGUAGAGAGGCAAACUGCCCUUCCCCCUUAAUCCUCUGUACCUUUUAAAUACACAGAGGAAAGAAGGAGAAAAUUAAACUGUUAAUUUCUUUUAAUGGUCUGCAGGGUCCAGAGAGGUGGGGUCCUGCUGUGUCUGCAAAAGAAAUGAAUUGCUGCUGUGGGAAGAAUAACAACUGUUUUUAGAAAAUGUUCAUAGCUGACCGAUUAAGCCAAUCUGUAGAACUCAAGUCAGCUUCUUCUUCUCCUUUAAGUCUCAGCUGGAGUUGAAUUUGAAUUAUUUCCUCAAAUUUUAAAUUGCUGGUUUUUGGAAAGCAAUGCUUGUUUUGACCCCAAAUUAUAUUAUCCUGACUUGACCACCCACCUUAUUCUUCAGAGCACUGAAGGAUGCUAAAGGAAGAUGGCUUGCCACCUCCAAGGCUCUUAAACCAGAUGUGCUGUGGGUUCUGAAAGCAGUGCCCAACAAAGAGCUCCAGAAACGUUUUGAGCAAUGGCAGCAAUGGAAGCACCUACACAAUAAGUGACAGCCUUCCAAGAUGACUUGAUAGAUGAGAACACACUAAAAUGUUUGUGUAAGUUCUGGUGUAGUUGUUAACAUGCAGACAUUAGUUAGACCUUGGUUAUACCGUUUCAGCCCUCCAGCUGAGAGUUAGGGACAAAAUUAUUCCUAACAUAUUGUACUUCAAAAAAUGGUACAUCCUUUAGGUGCAUCUUGCAGAUUUCACACAAAAUGUUUUAAUAUUUAGGAUCUAGAUAUUGUUUUGAAUGAUUUCAAGCAUUAUCCAAGAAAGAUGAAAACUAUAACUGAGAUAAACAUAUUGAGUAUGUUUUUAUAUUUUUAUUAAACCAAUUAAUUUUAACCAGGUGUAUGUAUGACUACUUGGGAUGCAUUUUGUUUACUUAAUUGUAGACAAUUCUGACUUAAGAUUGGGGGGAAAAAAGGUACUGUAUGUGGUCUUGAUUUUAACUAGAAAUAUAGUGCUUUCAACUCAAAUGAAACCAGCCCGUCCAGUAUACCAAAUAAGGAGCAAGACCUUUUAAGGAUUAUUUUGCUUUCUAAAGUAAUUAAAAGAAUAUCCCCUUCAAUCAUGUAUGCCCUUUAAACUUUGCUUAA
This 2372-nucleotide long non-coding RNA is filed under the name Homo sapiens (human). RNAcentral describes it as "HSALNT0293796". Lineage: Eukaryota; Metazoa; Chordata; Mammalia; Primates; Hominidae. The record is from RNAcentral.